UACGAAGGGGGCUAGCGUUGUUCGGAAUUACUGGGCGUAAAGCGCGCGUAGGCGGUAAUCCAUGUCAGAGGUGAAAUCCCAGGGCUCAACCCUGGAACUGCCUUUGAAACGGGAUUGCUAGAGUCCGAGAGAGGAUAGCGGAAUUCCUAGUGUAGAGGUGAAAUUCGUAGAUAUUAGGAAGAACACCGGUGGCGAAGGCGGCUAUCUGGCUCGGUACUGACGCUCAGGCGCGAAAGCGUGGGGAUCAAACAGG
This 253-nucleotide ribosomal RNA is filed under the name uncultured bacterium. RNAcentral describes it as "partial 16S ribosomal RNA". It matches the Rfam family "Bacterial small subunit ribosomal RNA", at positions 524 to 776 of the family's 1533-position model. The record is from RNAcentral.